GACGAACGCUGGCGGCGUGCUUAACACAUGCAAGUCGAACGGAAAGGCCCUGCUUUUGUGGGGUGCUCGAGUGGCGAACGGGUGAGUAACACGUGAGUAACCUGCCCUUGACUUUGGGAUAACUUCAGGAAACUGGGGCUAAUACCGGAUAGGAGCUCCUGCUGCAUGGUGGGGGUUGGAAAGUUUCGGCGGUUGGGGAUGGACUCGCGGCUUAUCAGCUUGUUGGUGGGGUAGUGGCUUACCAAGGCUUUGACGGGUAGCCGGCCUGAGAGGGUGACCGGCCACAUUGGGACUGAGAUACGGCCCAGACUCCUACGGGAGGCAGCAGUGGGGAAUAUUGCACAAUGGGCGGAAGCCUGAUGCAGCAACGCCGCGUGCGGGAUGACGGCCUUCGGGUUGUAAACCGCUUUCGCCUGUGACGAAGCGUGAGUGACGGUAAUGGGUAAAGAAGCACCGGCUAA
Molecule: ribosomal RNA, 461 nt
Filed under: uncultured bacterium
Lineage: Bacteria
Description: partial 16S ribosomal RNA
Rfam family: Bacterial small subunit ribosomal RNA
Source: RNAcentral